Molecule: ribosomal RNA, 527 nt
Filed under: uncultured bacterium
Lineage: Bacteria
Description: partial 16S ribosomal RNA
Rfam family: Bacterial small subunit ribosomal RNA
Source: RNAcentral
UGGGGAAUAUUGCACAAUGGGCGAAAGCCUGAUGCAGCAACGCCGCGUGAGUGAUGAAGGUCUUCGGAUUGUAAAGCUCUGUCUUUUGGGACGAUAAUGACGGUACCAAAGGAGGAAGCCACGGCUAACUACGUGCCAGCAGCCGCGGUAAUACGUAGGUGGCGAGCGUUGUCCGGAUUUACUGGGCGUAAAGGGUGCGUAGGCGGAUGUUUAAGUGAGAUGUGAAAUACCCGGGCUUAACUUGGGUGCUGCAUUUCAAACUGGAUAUCUAGAGUGCAGGAGAGGAGAAUGGAAUUCCUAGUGUAGCGGUGAAAUGCGUAGAGAUUAGGAAGAACACCAGUGGCGAAGGCGAUUCUCUGGACUGUAACUGACGCUGAGGCACGAAAGUGUGGGUAGCAAACAGGAUUAGAUACCCUGGUAGUCCACGCCGUAAACGAUGAGUAUUAGGUGUAGGAGGUAUCGACCCCUUCUGUGCCGCAGUAAACACAUUAAGUACUCCGCCUGGGAAGUACGAUCGCAAGAUUAAA